UCGCGAAAACUUCGCAAUGGGGGAAACCCCGACGAGGGAAUUCCAAGUGCCAGCACUUUGUGUUGGCUGUUCUUCUGUCUAAAAAACAGGAGAAGUAAGGGGCGGGUAAGACGGGUGCCAGCCGCCGCGGUAAUACCCGCGCCCCAAGUGGUGGUCGAUAUUAUUGAGCCUAAAACGUCCGUAGCCGGUCUUCUAAAUCCUUGGGUAAAUCGGGCAGCUCAACUGUCCGAAUUCCGGGGAGACUGGGAGACUUGGGACCGGGAGAGGUCAGAGGUACUUCUGGGGUAGGGGUAAAAUCCUGUAAUCCUGGAAGGACCACCGGUGGCGAAGGCGUCUGACUAGAACGGAUCCGACGGUGAGGGACGGAGCCCUGGGGCGCAAACGGGAUUAGAUACCCCGGUAGUCCAGGGUGUAAACGCUGCGGGCUUGGUGUUGGGGGUCCUUAGUGGGCGCCCAGUGCCGGAGAGAAGUUGUUAAGCCUGCUGCUUGGGGAGUAUGUCCGCAAGGAUGAAACUUAAAGGAAUUGGCGGGGGAGCACCGCAACGGGAGGAGCGUGCGGUUCAAUUGGAUUCAACGCCGAAAAACUCACCAGGAGCGACGGAUAUAUGAAGGUCAAGCCGAUGACUUUACCUGAUUUUCC
This 640-nucleotide ribosomal RNA is filed under the name uncultured archaeon. RNAcentral describes it as "bacterial SSU rRNA". It matches the Rfam family "Archaeal small subunit ribosomal RNA", at positions 339 to 981 of the family's 1478-position model. The record is from RNAcentral.